Molecule: ribosomal RNA, 468 nt
Filed under: uncultured bacterium
Lineage: Bacteria
Description: partial 16S ribosomal RNA
Rfam family: Bacterial small subunit ribosomal RNA
Source: RNAcentral
GACGAACGCUGGCGGCGUGCUUAACACAUGCAAGUCGAACGGAAAGGCCCUGCUUUUGUGGGGUGCUCGAGUGGCGAACGGGUGAGUAACACGUGAGUAACCUGCCCUUGACUUUGGGAUAACUUCAGGAAACUGGGGCUAAUACCGGAUAGGAGCUCCUGCUGCAUGGUGGGGGUUGGAAAGUUUCGGCGGUUGGGGAUGGACUCGCGGCUUAUCAGCUUGUUGGUGGGGUAGUGGCUUACCAAGGCUUUGACGGGUAGCCGGCCUGAGAGGGUGACCGGCCACAUUGGGACUGAGAUACGGCCCAGACGCCUACGGGAGGCAGCAGGGGGGAAUAUUGCACAAUGGGCGGAAGCCUGAUGCAGCAACGCCGCGGGCGGGAUGACGGCCUGCGGGUUGUAAACAGCUUUCGCCUGUGACGAAGCGGGAGUGACGGUAAUGGGUAAAGAAGCACCGGCUAACUACGUG